This 70-nucleotide transfer RNA is filed under the name Tarentola mauritanica (Moorish gecko). RNAcentral describes it as "tRNA-Thr". It matches the Rfam family "tRNA". From Rfam's summary of the family: Transfer RNA (tRNA) molecules are approximately 80 nucleotides in length. Their secondary structure includes four short double-helical elements and three loops (D, anti-codon, and T loops). Further hydrogen bonds mediate the characteristic L-shaped molecular structure. tRNAs have two regions of fundamental functional importance: the anti-codon, which is responsible for specific mRNA codon recognition, and the 3' end, to which the tRNAs corresponding amino acid is attached (by aminoacyl-tRNA synthetases). tRNAs cope with the degeneracy of the genetic code in two manners: having more than one tRNA (with a specific anti-codon) for a particular amino acid; and 'wobble' base-pairing, i.e. permitting non-standard base-pairing at the 3rd anti-codon position. Lineage: Eukaryota; Metazoa; Chordata; Lepidosauria; Squamata; Phyllodactylidae. The record is from RNAcentral.
GUCCCAGUAGCUUAACACACCAAAGCCUUGGCCUUGUAAACCAAAAAUGGGGCGCGCGCCCCCUAGGACG